RNAcentral lists this ribosomal RNA (497 nucleotides) under uncultured bacterium. RNAcentral's name for it is "partial 16S ribosomal RNA". It matches the Rfam family "Bacterial small subunit ribosomal RNA", at positions 28 to 507 of the family's 1533-position model. The record is from RNAcentral.
GAUGAACGCUGGCGGCGUGCCUAAUACAUGCAAGUCGAGCGAACGGACGAGAAGCUUGCUUCUCUGAUGUUAGCGGCGGACGGGUGAGUAACACGUGGAUAACCUACCUAUAAGACUGGGAUAACUUCGGGAAACCGUAGCUAAUACCGGAUAAUAUUUUGAACCGCAUGGUUCAAAAGUGAAAGACGGUCUUGCUGUCACUUAUAGAUGGAUCCGCGCUGCAUUAGCUAGUUGGUAAGGUAACGGCUUACCAAGGCAACGAUGCAUAGCCGACCUGAGAGGGUGAUCGGCCACACUGGAACUGAGAGACGGUCCAGACUCCUACGGGAGGCAGCAGUAGGGAAUCUUCAGCAAUGGGCGAAAGCCUGGCGGAGCAACGCCGCGUGAGUGAUGAAGGUCUUCGGAUCGUAAAACUCUGUUAUUAGGGAAGAACAUAUGUGUAAGUAACUGUGCACAUCUUGACGGUACCUAAUCAGAAAGCCACGGCUAAAUACGUG